RNAcentral lists this ribosomal RNA (497 nucleotides) under uncultured bacterium. RNAcentral's name for it is "partial 16S ribosomal RNA". It matches the Rfam family "Bacterial small subunit ribosomal RNA", at positions 28 to 507 of the family's 1533-position model. The record is from RNAcentral.
GAUGAACGCUGGCGGCGUGCCUAAUACAUGCAAGUCGAGCGAACGGACGAGAAGCUUGCUUCUCUGAUGUUAGCGGCGGACGGGUGAGUAACACGUGGAUAACCUACCUAUAAGACUGGGAUAACUUCGGGAAGCCGUAGCUAAUACCGGAUAAUAUUUUGAACCGCAUGGUUCAAAAGUGAAAGACGGUCUUGCUGUCACUUAUAGAUGGAUCCGCGCUGCAUUAGCUAGUUGGUAAGGUAACGGCUUACCAAGGCAACGAUGCAUAGCCGACCUGAGAGGGUGAUCGGCCACACUGGAACUGAGACACGGUCCAGACUCCUACGGGAGGCAGCAGUAGGGAAUCUUCCGCAAUGGGCGAAAGCCUGACGGAGCAACGCCGCGUGAGUGAUGAAGGUCUUCGGAUCGUAAAACUCUGUUAUUAGGGAAGAACAUAUGUGUAAGUAACUGUGCACAUCUUGACGGUACCUAAUCAGAAAGCCACGGCUAACUACGUG